GUUUGAUCCCUAUCCAAUGACUACAACUAAAAAACAAUUUGAAUGUAAAUAAACUAUAUAUUUGUGAAAAGGAGGUAUAUGAUUGUCGUUAUCGUCAAGCAUAGUACAUGAUUUAUCAUCUUUAUUUUAAACAAAGUGUCACAGUAGUUUUAGCCAACAUACUGAGUGAUUUGUUUGAGACGCAUGUACUCAUUGUAGCCGUGCUUAGAUAAGCCAACACCUAAUCCAGAGUGCUUCCAUCCAAUCCAUGGAAGCUCGUGUGUAACAACAUGAUAGUUAUUUAAUGAGCACAUACCUGCCUCAAUGUUAUUGCUGAAAAAUUCAAGGGUUUUAGGAUUUGUAGAAAAAACACCGGAACCAAGUCCAUAUUCAGAGUCAUUAGCCAACUCCAAUGCUUCCUCAUUUGUAUGGAAUGUCUUCACAGCUAAGACAGGCCCAAAGAUUUCCUCUCUCCAAAUCUUGUUGUGAGUUUGCACAUUCGUAAAUACGGUGGGUGGAAUAAAAUAACCUUUUUGUUCAGAUCUGGGAAGUCCACCUACUACACAUUUACAUCCUUCAUUUAUAGCUGAUUGAAUGUAGCUAACAAUUUUUUCAAACUGGGUUUUGCUCACUACAGGGCCCAAGGUUACUUGAGGAUCCAAUCCAUUUCCAAUUAUUAGUUUAUUAGCUUCACUCACUAAGCCGCCAAGUACUUCAUCCGCAACACUUUCAUGAACGAUCAAACGAGAAGCCGCAGUACAGGCUUCACCUUGAUUAAAGAAAAUAGCAAAGGCUGCAGAAGGAAUAGCGAGAGAAAGAUCCGCAUCUUCACAAAUUAUUAGAGGUGACUUACCCCCAAGUUCAAGGGUUAACGGGACAAUAUUUUCAGCAGCAGCAUGCAUAAUCUUUUUUCCGGUAGCCAAGGAUCCUGUAAAUGCUAGAUAGGCAAUCUUAGGAUGACAGCUAAGUGCAGCUCCCGACUCUUUACCAGAUCCAAUGAUAACAUUCAAAACACCAUCGGGCAAACCCGCUUCCUUGCAAAUCAGUGCGAAUUCAAGGCAUGACCAUGGGGCUAACUCUGAAGGUUUUAAAACUACGCAAUUACCGCUUGCAAUAGCUGGAACCAGCUUCCAUAAAGCCAUUUUCAGAGGGAAAUUCCAUGGAGUAAUGACACCGAUGACACCUCUAGGAAAACGUUUUUCAAAUGCGCAAAAUCCUGGAUUGUUAGGUAAGGGAACCUUAACUGUAGGGUUGUCGGUUUCUGCCACUUCAGCAUAAUACUCAAACAUGUCUGCGCAGCUAUCUAUAUCGAACAAUGCGUAUGGGGUUGGCUUUCCACAGUUAAUAGUAUCUAUUCCAGCAAGAAGUUCACGCUUUUCUCUCAUCAUUUUAGCUAUCUUUCUCAAAACCAACCCACGUUGUUUGCCAGGCCAUUUGGCCCAUAUUCCAGAACGAAAAGUGUUGUAAGCAUUCUCCACAGCUGAAUCGACAUCUUUGGCAGAAGCAUUUGCACAAGUGCCAAUAAUCUCCUCAGUUGCUGGAUUGAUUAAAGGGAUGGGCUUCGCAGCUGGCUCGAUAGGAGAAACGAAUUUCCCAUCUAUAAACAGACUAUUUUCAGGAGCUCGACGCGCUGAGAUAAUGUCACUUUGUAUAACAUUUAAAUCUAUAGUCAUGAUUAAAAAAUUAUAUAGUGUUUAGACGAAUCAAUAUUUGUCCGAAUGCAAAUUGAUAAAUGAAGAAGAA
Molecule: non-coding RNA, 1722 nt
Organism: Schizosaccharomyces pombe (fission yeast)
Lineage: Eukaryota; Fungi; Ascomycota; Schizosaccharomycetes; Schizosaccharomycetales; Schizosaccharomycetaceae
Source: the annotation of a GenBank genome assembly